GUCAGAGGAGGGUUUAACUUGUUAUUGAGGAAGAGCUCCAGUGUCAGACGACAGCUGAGAGCAAACACAGACACUCCUGAUUCACCGCUGAGGCUUCAAAGCUUCUGAUCUGAGCUGAAAACACUUCUGAGAGAAAAUGGUGUGAUUGAUCAUCAAUGCCUGCAGGUACGUGGCGCAGAAGAUCCAGGCUGCAGUGAGAGGGGAGGCGCAGCCGGAGAAAACAAGCACCACGUCCUGCAAGCAGACAAAAGCACAAAAGGAUGGCAUGAUGAGCGCUGAAGAGCCAGCCUUGAUCCCCCCGCAGACCAGGGAGGUCGAUGUCCCGCGGAUAGAAGCGUGCGGGUCCUGAAAUUAAACUGAGAGCAGGAGGGUAGAGUGGAAGGCCCAUAAUGAGGACACAAACACAACACAAACAUACACAAACACAUACAAACACAUACAAAUACAUACAAACACAAACACACGCAUACAUGCUCUUCUUCGGCUGAUUGAACAUGCAACAUUUCUCGCACAAACAUAACAUAAAAACCCAAAAUGAACUUCCACUGACUCCCAGCUCUCAGUUUCUUUCUUUCCCACCCGUCCUUCAUCCAGUGGAGAGCGAGUCGGCAGAGAGAAUGAAAGCCUGAUCACCAAUUCCCCCGCAGAGGAACCGAUCAGUCUGGAUGAAAAGACUCUGCUGAUGAAGCUGUGCCAAAUCAUAUAUUCAUGUAUUCAUAGACCCAAUCUUUUUCACUGUGAUACUUUUCAGUAAAUAAAAAGAGAGAAUAUUUCUUGUGU
Morone saxatilis (striped sea-bass) is the source of this 780-nucleotide long non-coding RNA. RefSeq lists it as uncharacterized. The transcript is spliced from 3 exons. The record is from RefSeq and is a predicted model, not a curated record. Lineage: Eukaryota; Metazoa; Chordata; Actinopteri; Moronidae.